CCUACGGGGGGCAGCAGUGGGGAAUAUUGCACAAUGGGGGAAACCCUGAUGCAGCAACGCCGCGUGAAGGAAGAAGGUCUUCGGAUUGUAAACUUCUUUAGUCGGGGACGAAAAAUGACGGUACCCGAAGAAUAAGCCACGGCUAACUACGUGCCAGCAGCCGCGGUAAUACGUAGGUGGCAAGCGUUGUCCGGAAUUACUGGGUGUAAAGGGCGUGUAGGCGGGUUAUUAAGUCAGAUGUGAAAUUCCUCUGCUCAACGGAGGCGCUGCAUCUGAAACUGAUAAUCUUGAGUGCUGGAGAGGGAAGCGGAAUUCCUAGUGUAGCGGUGAAAUGCGUAGAUAUUAGGAGGAACACCAGUGGCGAAGGCGGCUUUCUGGACAGUAACUGACGCUGAGGCGCGAAAGCGUGGGGAGCAAACAGGAUUAGAUACCCUUGUAGUCCU
This 443-nucleotide ribosomal RNA is filed under the name uncultured Oscillospiraceae bacterium. Its description in RNAcentral is "bacterial SSU rRNA". It matches the Rfam family "Bacterial small subunit ribosomal RNA", at positions 338 to 797 of the family's 1533-position model. The record is from RNAcentral. Lineage: Bacteria; Bacillati; Bacillota; Clostridia; Eubacteriales; Oscillospiraceae.